RNAcentral lists this non-coding RNA (31 nucleotides) under Homo sapiens (human). Lineage: Eukaryota; Metazoa; Chordata; Mammalia; Primates; Hominidae. The record is from RNAcentral.
UCACUGUAACUGACAAACUCUUACGAGCAGG